UACGUAGGUGGCAAGCGUUGUCCGGAAUUAUUGGGCGUAAAGCGCGCGCAGGUGGUUUCUUAAGUCUGAUGUGAAAGCUCACGGCUCAACCGUGGAGGGUCAUUGGAAACUGGGGAACUUGAGUGCAGAAGAGGAUAGUGGAAUUCCAAGUGUAGCGGUGAAAUGCGUAGAGAUUUGGAGGAACACCAGUGGCGAAGGCGACUAUCUGGUCUGUAACUGACACUGAGGCGCGAAAGCGUGGGGAGCAAACAGG
This 253-nucleotide ribosomal RNA is filed under the name uncultured bacterium. Its description in RNAcentral is "partial 16S ribosomal RNA". It matches the Rfam family "Bacterial small subunit ribosomal RNA", at positions 524 to 776 of the family's 1533-position model. The record is from RNAcentral.